UUUUAGGUCGUUUAUAUGGUUUUUGGCCAAUUUUUGUGUUUGUAGUCGUUUUUAUGAUUUUUGGCCUAUUUUAGUGUUUGUAGUGGUUUUUAAUGUUUUUGGCCUAUUUUAGGGUCGUUUAUAUAGUUUUUUUGCCAAUUUUAGUGUUUGUAGUCGUGUUUAUGCUUUUUGGCCUAUUUUAGUUCGUUUAUAUGGUUUUUGGCCAAUUUUAGUUUUUGUAGUCGUUUUUAUUGUUUUUUGCCAAUUUUAGUGUUUGUAGUCAUUUUUAUGGUUUUU
This 276-nucleotide long non-coding RNA is filed under the name Trifolium pratense (red clover). RNAcentral's name for it is "long non-coding RNA (TPRA_LNC013114)". The record is from RNAcentral. Lineage: Eukaryota; Viridiplantae; Streptophyta; Magnoliopsida; Fabales; Fabaceae.